GUGCGGGCGGUGCCCUCCUUCCCUCUGGGCUCCUUUGGGACGGAUGCGGUCGGCCCCAUCUUUGCGCUUUACGCAACAGGUCACAACAUGGUUGUUGGGAAAAUGGGAUGGUUGCCAGAACACCGGACUGUGAUGGGUGCCAUACUGUAUUGCACUUCGAGUGGUGGAAUACAACUUGGGUUUCCUCAGGGCUGAUUAACACGGUUCAAACUGGACCAUACAGCUGCUUAACAUCCUAGCUGUUUGAUUCAUGGUAAUGGUUAAUGGUCUCCUGGGGCAAGUGGAAGAGCCUCAUGCUGAAUCUUUGUGGAUAUUGUGGAACAUGCUGCUGAGACCCAUUUGGAUUACAUCGCCAUCUGACACCAAGAUUCUGCAGCUGAUGAAAGGAGUUUACCAGAUCUUUUUAUGUGGUUGCUGAAGCAUUGUCCUGGGACAGCAGUAGUGACAGAUGGAUGAACAGAACACACUUCAGGCUUGAGUCACAGAGAAACCUGAGGAUUUACACUUCUGAAGUAGGUGUGAAUGAGAUUGAAGGGAUUACAUGGAGGAUUCUGAACUCCCCUUCUUCCUGCUCCGGGAAAGACGGAGGCCUGCUCUGACACCACCUUUGGUUAUGAUCCACAUGUGCUACUGAAGCUGGCUAGAAUGGUGUGACACACGGAGUAAUCUCAUGAAGCAAGGGCAGUGUGCUCUCAUUGCUGCUCAUCAUGGCCUUGCAGGGGGAAAAGGAGCCUGGCAGACCUCUGUGUGGCAUAAAGCUGCACCGUUUGGAAGAAGCAAGACCGUCUUUCCUCCCAGCUACGCUGCUGCACCGCUUUCGACAGAACCUGCCUUUCCCUCCAUUUACCUGGGCAGCUGCUGCUCUUUCUGCUGCUGCUGGGGCUGCUGCAGUCUGGCUGCCUGCGCUUCGCCCUGGCUUGGCUGGCUCGAAACUCUCUCGUCUGCACAGUGCUAAGGAAGAAGAGCGAUGGAGCCGCGGAUUUUUUAUUUUCAUUUGUUCUGGAAGCCAAGGGUUGCAAUAUGUGAUGAUUUUGGGGUUUUCUGUGGCGGGGGGGAGGGAGGAGAAAGGAAGGGUGUUAAUCUAGGAUAGGGUGGGUGAAAGCUUAAAGAAAUAUUAUGUCAAGUAAUCCAGUGCUCGACAAGGGCAUCAGCAAGAAGACUCCAGCCUCAGCUGCUCCAGAGGAUUAACAUGGGGAAGUCACAGUGCUGCAGUCGGGUUUCACCUCAGUGUUGUGCUGGAGAUGGAUAAAUAAGGUAUCGGUUGCAUCUGCCUGUUAAGGCAAAGCCAAGGGAGAAGGAGAGAGCGAGCGAAUGCAAAUGCAAGGGAAGAAGAAAUGCUACGUGCCGUUUGUCCGAUUCUGUGGAUUCUCACUGCAGAGAGGACGGCUUGAUUAACAAAGCGACGUACGGACAGAGGGACUGUAAAUUGUAGCUUGAGCACUCCUGGUGUUGUCAGGGAGUGAACUGAUGAGUUAGGUGGCUGCAGGAAUAUCCCCUGGGAAAACAGCAGCCUCGCACUCUGUGUGUAUAUCUGUGUAUGUACGUGCUUUUGUGUGUGUGUGAACAUGUACAGAAAUGAAAGAAGGACAUUUCUGACCAAUUUACAGAGGACGUUUGUCAGUUUGCUGGGUCAGACUUGAUUGCAGCUUGUAUUUUCAGCUCUAGCUCUACACCCAUUUCCUGACUGAGGUGGCACUUUGUGAAAACAGAUGGUAGGCAGUAUUCUUUUAAGAAAUGUGAAAGCAGAUCCUUUCCGCUUAACACCUUGAAGCACUGAGUCUUCUGCACUGUGCUGAGAUAAACCGUGGGGUUUCGUUUUCUCCGUCUUAAAAUCUCUAUAAACACAGCUGUAUUCAGUAUGGUGAAAAAUUCUAUACUGUAAAUAGAAAUGUGAUCAAACUAAUCAAAAUAAAUGCAUCCCAGAUGACUUCUAGACCAGCUGGCUACCACAGUCAUCAGAUGACUAAAUCCUCAACUGAGCAUUUGUAUUCAGUGUUAUACUUGCA
Ficedula albicollis (Collared flycatcher) is the source of this 2006-nucleotide long non-coding RNA. RefSeq lists it as uncharacterized. The transcript has 7 exons. The record is from RefSeq and is a predicted model, not a curated record. Lineage: Eukaryota; Metazoa; Chordata; Aves; Passeriformes; Muscicapidae.